UAGCCUGCAUGAUAAAUGUCCACAGGGGCAACGUCCUAAACAGUAGCCUGCAUGAUAAAUGUCCACAGGGGCAACGUCCUAAACAGUAGCCUCCAUGAUAAAUGUCCACAGGGGCAACGUCCUAAACAGUAGCCUGCAUGAUAAAUGUCCACAGGGGCAACGUCCUAAACAGUAGCCUGCAUGAUAAAUGUCCACAGGAGCAACGUCCUAAACAGUAGCCUGCAUGAUAAAUGUCCACAGGAGCAACGUCCUAAACAGUAGCCUGCAUGCAUUUCAAAACAAAAACUUUAAUGCAUGGGGCUAAGAUGGACGCUGAGUCCAAGGUGGAGGGGGCAGUUGACCAAUGGGGUCCCUCCAGGGAGUAUUACAUCUCCUCGUGAGGGACAUUUCCUCGUAUGCCACUUGAUGUCCAUGGUAAGCCUUCUCGUUUCUUUUUACCCGUAUUAAGGUCUGAUUUUCAUUGUCAAAUACAGAAUUUUAGCCAAAACAUUUUGUGAAGAGGUUUUUUCAAGUGCUUUGUCCAGGGCAAUAUAUAAUAGGGAUAGUAAAGCUGGCACACAUUUGAAAUAAUAUUUUUAGCAUCACAUGAGGGCCUGUAUGGAACCAUUGGGAAAAUGAUCAGUGUGUGUGUGGUCCUUGGAGGGGUUGGGCCACACUUCUUCUCUGAGCGACUCUUCGCAGCAGUGUGUGGGACGCCUGCUCCUCCACUCAGUCUGGAGGAGGUGAGCCACACUACUCUGAAAGCAUAUUGGAAAAUGUGAGUUUUAUAUCCUCCCUAACAUCAACAGGAAAUAAUAGAUCAUCAUUUUUUACAUGUAUGGUUUCUUUUGAUGUUUUUAAAAUUCUCGAUUGCCUGUCAUACAUUUUUUUUAAAUUCUAGAUCAAAAAAGCAGAGGACCUAUCCGAGGUGAAGAACAAAUUGGAGGAAUCGGUAGACUGGCUGAGCCUACUGGGGCUGAAAAGGAUUGUUGUCAAGACAAUGGAGGACAGGGAUGGUGUGAUUGAAUUGGUGGCUCAACAAUUUGUCCGAGGGAGCAUGCAGGUGGCCUUGGAGCAGCAUUGGGGAACGACCCGGACAGCUUCCGAGUACUCUUUGUUGACCCCAUAAAGCCUCACUGCCAAGGACCUGAUGGACCUGUUUAAAGUAACCUAUUCCAUACCUGGCGGCAACCGGCGGUGGUUGGAGAACGACACCAUCUGCCACUGGUUCAACUGGCUGGCUGAGGUGCAAGAUGGAGAAUGUCCUCCUCUAACAGUGAUGAUGGUGUUGGAGUUUACUACUGGGGCAACGGGGGUGCCACCCCUGGGGUUUGAGGUCACCCCGACAAUCGAAUUCCUCCACACAGCGCGAGGGCGUCUCGCUGGGCAGCAGAAGAAAAAGUACCCAGAGGCAAACGUGUGUGCUGUCACACUAAGGCUCCCUCUUCAUAGCACCUACAAUGCCUUUAGAGAAUUCAUGACCUCCGGUAUUGUGAAUUCCCCGCAUUUCGAUGUUGCAUAAAAACAUUUUUAUGAUACCGAAUGUAUAGAAUUGUAUCCAGUAGCACUACACUAACAAUUGAGUGUUUCAAAAUGUAACUGCACAUCAACAUUUUAAGCAUUUAUCUACUGAUAGGUUUGGAUUUCUGAGCUUUAACUGGGAUUAAUCAUUAGUUAUAGGAUUAAUCAUUAGUUAUAUGAUUAAUCAUUAGUUAUAGGAUUAAUCAAUAGUUAUAGGAUUAAUCAUUAGUUAUAGGAUUAGGCUUCCUGCUUUUCUCAGGUUUUUGCCUGGCAUAUGAGUUCUGUUAUACUCACAGACAUCAUUCAAACAGUUUUAGAAACUUCAGAGUGUUUUCUACCCAGAUCUACUAAUAAUAUGCAUAUAUUAGCAACUGGGCCUGAGUAGCAGACAGUUUACUCUGGGCACCUUAUUCAUCCAAGCUACUCAAUACUGCCCCCAGCCAUAACAGGUUAUAGGAAUAAUCAUUAGUUAUAGGAAUAGGCUUCCUGCCUAGCAAUAACAUGCUAUGUUUAGCAAUAAGCAGGAGACUCCACCCAAAGUGGGGUAUGUAUACUACCACAGGUGAAACCAUGUCUUGGUCAGCUGUUCGAUCCUUUGGGAUGAAUAAACUUGGUUUAAGCUUUCAUAGUGUCUGUCGAGUUCUUACUAGAACCUAACGCUACUUACCGUCUAUGCAUACCACCCUGCAUACCACUGCUGGCUUGCUUCAGAAGCUAAGCAAGGUUGAUCCUGGUCAGUCCCUGGAUGGGAGACCAGAUGCUGC
Oncorhynchus tshawytscha (Chinook salmon) is the source of this 2264-nucleotide long non-coding RNA. RefSeq lists it as uncharacterized. The transcript has 3 exons. The record is from RefSeq and is a predicted model, not a curated record. Lineage: Eukaryota; Metazoa; Chordata; Actinopteri; Salmoniformes; Salmonidae.